UAGUAAUAUGGUGGAAAUGAGGAAAAGUUAUAUAACAGCAUGUACGAAUGGGUUGCAGUUUUCAUUUUGAAAACUCUGAUAAACAAUGGUUUUGCGAGUUAUUGUCUGGUGGAAAUAUGUAGAGACUUUAACUUUG
Molecule: long non-coding RNA, 136 nt
Organism: Priapulus caudatus
Lineage: Eukaryota; Metazoa; Priapulida; Priapulimorpha; Priapulimorphida; Priapulidae
Exons: 3
Source: RefSeq, a predicted model, not a curated record